UACGAAGGGUGCAAACGUUGCUCGGAAUUAUUGGGCGUAAAGCGCACGUAGGCGGCUUGGCAAGUCGGAUGUGAAAGCCCUCGGCUCAACCAAGGAAGUGCAUCCGAAACUGCUGAGCUUGAGUACUUAAGAGGAUCGCGGAAUUCCCGGUGUAGAGGUGAAAUUCGUAGAUAUUCGCAAGAACACCAGUGGCGAAGGCGGCUCACUGGCCCGGUACUGACGCUGAGGAGCGAAAGCGUGGGGAGCGAACAGG
Molecule: ribosomal RNA, 253 nt
Filed under: uncultured bacterium
Lineage: Bacteria
Description: partial 16S ribosomal RNA
Rfam family: Bacterial small subunit ribosomal RNA
Source: RNAcentral